This 1536-nucleotide long non-coding RNA is filed under the name Capra hircus (goat). Its description in RNAcentral is "lncRNA (ENSCHIG00010028842.1)". The record is from RNAcentral. Lineage: Eukaryota; Metazoa; Chordata; Mammalia; Artiodactyla; Bovidae.
AUGCCCCCAGGAGUAACACGCACACUAAAACUCAGUCCACUGAGCAGUGGAGUCCGUGACUGCCAGCAGAUCUGUUGCUACCAGGGCCGGGAGGAGGCAGGAGGGUGUUACAGAGCAGAGCACCGAUGCCUGGCAAAACAGAGGCCAAGCCUGAAGGGAAGGAGCAAAGACAGUCGAGACGGAAUGUGCUCGCUUCAGAACUUUGCCCGCAGUGUUUCACAUUCUUCUGUUCUCGGACAAAGAGGAGUGGCUGUGUGUGCAGAGGACGGGAAUGCAGCCCCUGUCCUGGUGACUCACACCGACACCACUUCGCUGUGGAGUUGUUGUUUGUGUUUAACACCCGGUUGCCUUUGUCACAAAGGAAUUCCUUCCCAAGAGAUUCACUUGUCCCGAAAGAUUCAUUCCCAAAGAAUCAUUAUGUCAAAAUUCUAUGAGCCAAGAUUCCUAAAAAUAAAGAAGCUUCCCUCCUUGGGCACCAAAAUCUUUCUGACUGGGGGCUGGAGAGAGAGGGCGUUUUCAAAGUGGCAAACAAGAUUAAGCUUGAUUUAAGCCAAUCACUUCAAGAGAAAUAACCAAACUUUUAGUGCCAUAAGUCACAGGGAUCAAAGUACUACUUCCAGUUAAGGCUUCAACCUGUUCAAGGCACUUUGCAUCUGCAGGUCUUUUUGGUCAUCAAUUGAGAGUUCAAUUUCGUCUAACACCAAGAGGUGGUAUGGUGUCAGUAUAAGCAGUAAACGAAAUUAAAGUUCAGAAUAUGUUCUGCAAAGACAGUGUGACUAAAAGGCACAAACAAUAAGAUAAAACGAAAUAAGACCUUAAAGUCAAACAACUGCACAGGAUUCUCAAUCCUGGCAGCUGUGUAAUCUUGGUCAACUUAAUUUCCUUGAGCCUGUGUUCCACAAUGAAAGAAGCCAUUGCAAUGAGAAGCCCACACACUACCAGGAAGAGUAGCCCCCAUUCGCUGCAACCAGAGAAAGCCCACACACAGCAAUACAGACCCUGGGCAACCAAAAAUAAAUAGAUGAAUAAAUAAAUAAUCAGCCUUCUGGCUUAUUUUUUAAAUGGGAGGAAAAUGUAUCCAAGGUAUGUAUUGAUUAUCCAACACAUGUACACCACAGUUCAUGAUAUGAUGGGAAAACAGAGGAUAUGUCUGCUUUUAAAGAGCUUAAACUCAAGACAAGGAUACAAAAAUGUUGACAUUAGGCAAUUAGCAACAUAAAAGUCAUAAUGAACCUCAACUGAGCAUUUACAAUGUGGUGAACACAUGCAGACUUCAGGAACAGGGUCUCAUCUGAUCCACUUAACAACCCAAUGAAGUCAUUACCCAUUCACCAUCUUCCAGAUGAGGAAACUGAGGCUUGGCAAGAUUUAGUUACUUACCCAAGGCCACAGAGCUCAAAUACCGGCUUUGAACUCCAGCAACCUAAAUCUACAGACAUGACUUAGAUACAACUGAGUCUUGUAAACUAAAGGGGAGUUAGACUAGUGACUCAGCAGUGGCCACAGGACUGGAAAAGGUCAGUUUUCAUUCCAAUC